RNAcentral lists this ribosomal RNA (253 nucleotides) under uncultured bacterium. RNAcentral describes it as "partial 16S ribosomal RNA". It matches the Rfam family "Bacterial small subunit ribosomal RNA", at positions 1239 to 1500 of the family's 1533-position model. The record is from RNAcentral.
ACAGAGGGAAGCCAGGUGGCGACACCGCGCGGAACCCGAAAGCCGUUCUCAGUUCGGAUCGGAGUCUGCAACCCGACUCCGUGAAGCUGGAUUCGCUAGUAAUCGCGCAUCAGCCAUGGCGCGGUGAAUACGUUCCCGGGCCUUGUACACACCGCCCGUCAAGCCAUGGGAGCCGGGGGUGCUUGAAGUGCGUCGCCGCAAGGCGCGCCCUAGAGCAAAACCGGUGACUGGGGCUAAGUCGUAACAAGGUAGC